This 105-nucleotide small nuclear RNA is filed under the name Microcebus murinus (gray mouse lemur). RNAcentral describes it as "U5 spliceosomal RNA (ENSMICG00000025998.3)". It matches the Rfam family "U5 spliceosomal RNA". Rfam says of the family: U5 RNA is a component of both types of known spliceosome. The precise function of this molecule is unknown, though it is known that the 5' loop is required for splice site selection and p220 binding, and that both the 3' stem-loop and the Sm site are important for Sm protein binding and cap methylation. The record is from Rfam by way of RNAcentral. Lineage: Eukaryota; Metazoa; Chordata; Mammalia; Primates; Cheirogaleidae.
AUACUCUGGCUUUUCUUCAGAGCGCAUAAAUCUUUCGUCUUUUACUAAAGAUUUUCAUGGAGAGGAGAUUUUAAUGAGCUUUUUGAGCCCUUGCUUUGGCAGGGC